UCUAUCUUCUCUUUUUCUGUGGCUCUGUUCGUCUGCCGGCUCCCUUCUAUUCUGCCUUCUUGAUUCCUUGUGAUUCUUUUCCAUUUUCCGCCGCCAAUCGUGAUGCACCAACACCUGCCACACACACGCAUAUACAUGUAUACGUACACCCCAUGUCAGCUGCCCUGCCAGAACCCACUCAAGAGGCAAUGGCCCCGGCGUCUGCGCUCCUGUUUCGCGCUUAGUUGUGCCAACGAAAAAAAAAAGAAGCCCGCGCCUCCACAGCCCCGGCUUGAAAUCACCUGUUCUUUGUGACGUCUCUCCUUUCUCGUGGCAUGAAAGCACGUGCCAUGUGCGUGUGCCCGUCUGUAGGCACUUUACUGAGCAAAGGAGUCGCGGAGUCAAAGGAUGAUGGGUAGCGGAAAGGUGGUGAAACGGCUUGCCGUUCCGCGGAGACGCUUCCGAAAUGUCGUGAAGAAGGGGUCUCGGAGGUUGGGUCGUUCGGCGGCUGUUCCCCGGAGCCCCCUCCAUUUCUCCCCGCGCUCUCUCGCAGGGAUGCGGUCGUGUGUACUGGUGCCUCGUACACUCCCCUUGUUUUAGUCUGCUAUCCUCGUUCGCAUGUGCUCCUCUCUAACACCCUUUUCUUCUGCUUGCAUGGGCACCCCCGCCCCUCUAAUAACAUGGAGGUGAGGCACAUCGAAGUGGCGUACCCUGAAGACGUGGUGGUGGUGGAGGGCUACCCCUGAGGGCUCGUCUAUUUUUUUUUCUCCUUCCCACUCGGCCCUUUGUUGCGUGCCGCAGAAUGCGGUGACAAGUCCCUGCUGAACUACUGUUUUCAGCUGUGUCUUUUUGUUUUUUUUUUGCUUUUCGUGGCGGUGGUAUGUGUCUAUCCUGUCCGCUGCCUUCCGCAUCACCUGAUGGAUGCUGCGCCGCCUCCCCGUCUGCGGUGGUACGCUGUCUGCUGUUGUGCCGAGUGUUUCGUUUUUGCUUAGUCGCCUGUGACUCGCUCUUGCCACCCUUUUUCUUUGUGCUCCCCUUGAAUCUUCAGCAGUGAGGCAGUGGGCGAUGAUUCCGUGAUUUCCCUCGCAUCAUAUUUUCUCGGGCUCGAACGUAGCGGUCGAACCUAGUCGCAAACGCACCGGCUUUUUGACCGAGUGUGUGUGUGUGUUUGUGUGUGCCCGCAAACAAUGAUCAGACGCUGCCCAGUGUGCGGCACGGCUGGCACCUCUCUCACGAGGCCGCGUAAUGUUGGGAAUCCUGUGAAUAUUCUUUGUGUGUAUGCUACUAGCAUAUCCCCCAGCUUCGUGUGCAGUGACGUGCCGGAGACUCUGCGGGAAAGGAUGUGUAUUUUUAUUCUUCCCCAUUGCGUGCCACUGAGUUCAGUCUCUCCCACCAACCAAAAUGGUCCGUGCUUCGCCACGUAAAGCUCUGUAGCAAAAUGCGGCUGUCGCUUCAAGGAGCGCCAAAGACGUAUGCGCGGGCACCGCCGACAAAAAUCCCGGGUGAGAACCCCUCCCUCUCUUCUCCCCUCCCCCUCGCUGGGCUGAACAACCGACGCCCGUGUACUUGCUCUGUAUACUGAGCCGUGAGUGUGGCCAACUCUUUCCUUGAUCCUCCUCUUGUGUUCAG
This 1608-nucleotide unclassified non-coding RNA is filed under the name Leishmania donovani. RNAcentral's name for it is "gene:unknown". The record is from RNAcentral. Lineage: Eukaryota; Euglenozoa; Kinetoplastea; Trypanosomatida; Trypanosomatidae.